UUUUCUCAUGGGUUCUGAAGAGCCAGGAAUGAAAGAGAAGAUGAGGAAAAGGAAAGGAUGGCAGACCCAGAGAGGUUUACAUGCUGCCCUAUGGUAAUAGUCUGGGCAAAAAUGUUUUUUUCAUCUGCAGGGAUUGGGAAUGGGGUUCGAGAUUUAAAGGCAAAAAGAGAACUUAGGAAACUUUCCAGUUGCCAGAGUCUAUUGGAAGGAGAAAAAGAAGUUGACUGAGAGGGAAUUGGAUGAAAAGACCUUCUUCGCACGAUAAUGGCCUUGACCCAUCCCAUCCAGUACCCAGAGCAAGGAUGGUGGGAGAAAGGGAAUAUCCUUCCUUCCCUUACUCAGUUCAAGUCAAGUGGGACGAAAGGCGAGAGCCUCGGCCUGCCACAACUCUUGGAAAACUUCGGGCAAGCAGGAAGAACAUGGGGCCCCACCAAAGGAACCGCACAAUGAAAAAUCCAUCGGGAGCCAUAGGAGGAGUUGGGGAGCAACUAAGAGUCAGUGUCUAAGAAAAGCGAGGGGGCUACUCGAUAAAUAUACCUUAGACACUUAGACACUGAUAACAGCGGUACCGGGAUCUCAAUUCCCAUCGCCGAACUGUCUCAGCCAGGAUGCAGGUGGACCGAGGAGGAAAAGUUUCCUAAGAAGGGAAGAUGCUUGGGGAAAUCGUUCUUUCUUCCGUUUCUGUGCAGCUGGAGGGCCUGGGAUAAACCCUUAAAAACUGUGUAAAAAAAAUGUAAAGGGUAUGUGGGAUGGGGCUCGAUCUUAGAAAGAAUAAAGCCACUCGAUUGCUA
Phascolarctos cinereus (koala) is the source of this 791-nucleotide non-coding RNA. Lineage: Eukaryota; Metazoa; Chordata; Mammalia; Diprotodontia; Phascolarctidae. The record is from RefSeq and is a predicted model, not a curated record.